GGUGAUUUAUUUUGGAUGUUUUAUAGAUUAUUACACACGUUAAGGUGUUCUUUAACGUUUCGGUUAGAGCGCUAAGUACCCACCUACUAGCUAUAGGGUAUAUUUUUUUAUUAUAUAUAUAAUUUUUUUUUUUUUGUAUAUCACGUCCCGAAUUCCCGACCCUCUGCGUAUUACGUGUGUACACGAUUGAUAUCACUCAUCGCCGGUUUAUCUAUGUAUAUUUGAUGUUUCUUGACGUAAGAAUUAUUCUUAUUAUUUUUCUUUUCGUUCUUUUUUUUUUUUUUUCGCCCCUCCUCCGCGGACAUUCAUUGAUGGAACAAACAAAACGAGUUUUUAGUUUACAAAUAUUUAAUCGUAACGGGCCGUGGAACGCGGGCCGCCGCCGCGCCGUCAGUCGGACCCGAGAAUCUUUUGGUUUUUUUUUUUUUUUUAAUUAUGUCGGGUUUUCAUUUAUCCGCCGUGUUUACGGGAGAUUCGAAAGGAGAAAAAAAAAAUAAAUACAUGACGAGCCGCUUUUCAACAAAGACGGAAUUACGUUCUGCCGUAUAUACAUACGAGCGCGCGCAUCUAGUUAUACGAUUUUAUAAAUAACAACAAUUGCGCGUACCUGAACAAGACGGCCGUUAAUAGGACGUCGCGUCUAACAGCAUAUUAUUAUUAUUAUUGUUGUUGUUGUUGUUGUUAUUAUUAUUACUAUUAUUAUUAUUAUCAUUAUUAUACGCGGCCGCGGCGAUACGCGUUGUAAAAACAUCUAUAACUUAUCGUUUAUGUUGGUUUAUUUUUCUCCCAACGAAUCUUUUGAUAAUCUCGAAUUGAAU
Cinara cedri is the source of this 818-nucleotide non-coding RNA. NCBI's taxonomy places the organism in Eukaryota, Metazoa, Arthropoda, Insecta, Hemiptera, Aphididae. The record is from the annotation of a GenBank genome assembly.